This is a non-coding RNA of Theobroma cacao (cacao), 225 nucleotides long. The record is from RefSeq and is a predicted model, not a curated record. Lineage: Eukaryota; Viridiplantae; Streptophyta; Magnoliopsida; Malvales; Malvaceae.
AUGGUCGGCCAAACUAGAAGAGAAGAGAAACCAAGGAAGAACAAACCCUAGGUGGGAAAAAUCAAAGAGAAAGUGUUGGAAUUCAAGGAUUUGAUCAAGCAAAGGUGGUGAGCAAAUUACACUGGUAAAAGUACAAAGAUUGUACUUGAAGACUGGGGUUAGGAGUACAUCGACUCCUAGAACUGAUCGGGAAAUUCCAUAUUUAGCUGACUUUGACAAGGACUU